Long non-coding RNA from Columba livia (rock pigeon), 3335 nucleotides. RefSeq lists it as uncharacterized. NCBI's taxonomy places the organism in Eukaryota, Metazoa, Chordata, Aves, Columbiformes, Columbidae. The transcript is spliced from 3 exons. The record is from RefSeq and is a predicted model, not a curated record.
AUGAGCUCAGGGCAUUAAGUGCCCAGGGAAACACUGGAUGAACUGUCAAGAGAUACAAGAGGGGAUAUUGAGAAGGAAUGCACUGCUGGGAAAGGAGAAGGCAGGGAAGUCAAACAUGCGUCAGAGAAAUGAUGGGAGACAUGGGAAGGAGCACAAUACGAGGUAAGAAAGCAAGGAAACACAGUAGGAGGGCAAGGUCUGGAGAGCAAAGACAAGACAUGGAAGAAAGGCAGUGAAUUUGCAGGGAGGAGGAGAAAGCAUUUUACUCUGGAUCAGAUCUCUGCCUGCUGAUACUGCUCCUAAAAGGAGAGGAAGGCAAGAGGAGAGAAGGCAGGCAAGAAAAAAGAAGCAGUGGCUACUGGAAUUGAUUCAUGGCUAAGGGAGGAAAGUAAUUCGAGUUUAACCAAAGGGGUUAGAGGAUGCCAAAGGAGAGCAGGUGUGGCCUGUGCCAUCCAGGGGAGGUGUGAGAUACAGCAACAGUUGCCUUUUCACAGAGGAGCCUGCAGAAGCACCUGGGCUGGGAAGAUGGAGGGAUGGAUCCCAGACACCUGACACUGGGCUGACCAUGAUCCAUCCUUGACUACCUCUCAGGACUCACGCAGUCUGCAGCCUCAGCAGGUGCUGCCCAGACAGCUAAGGCCCGCUGCAGAGCAACUUCCACCAGUUCCUGGAGCAACCUGAGGAACACAAAGCAGCCAGAGGCUAGCAAGGCAGCAGGCCAGCAGUUCAACGAUUGGACUUCCCUGUAAUGUCUCUGCUGGAGUUCCACAAAGCAAUCAUGGAGCAAGCUGAGUGAGAGCAACGAGGUUGUGACAGCCCGAGCCCAUACUCAGCUUCCAGCGGCUCCCAGGGAAUGACUCGGGAUAAUGAGAUGAUUCAGAAGAAGCGGGGCUGAACAAGAUGCUUGGGACCUUCUCAGAGGUCUGCCUUACACUUCUAGUCAGAUUAAGUAUCAUGAGUAAUAGCAGUCUUUCUCUUGAAUAAUUUGCCCUCUUGAGCAUUGUCAAACUUGCAAUUAAUAGUGAGCUUUUUACCCAUUUUCAGCUGAAUUUAAAGCCUGGCUGUCACCUGCUGGCAUGUCAGGGCUUUAACAGCGACCCAGAGCUGCAGGCUGGGUGUGGGUCUGAAUUCCUACACAACUGAGUGAUUGCACAGGGGCACUUAAAGGCUUUUUAGGAGUCAAUGUCUGAUACUUCAAAAACUAGGUCUAGAGAAAAUGCUCUUUUGGCACAUCUGGCUUAGCUCUCUGUACGUAAAAGCAGAAUGGAAACUGCUGCAGAAAAAUAUGUCAUAGGCUAGCUAGGAAACAGCACUUCCAAAAUGCUAAUAUGCAUAAAAUUAGUUCAACUGCUAAGACUUAUCUGUUUAAGUGUUCACAUUACGCAUACAUAAUAUGCAGUUACAGUUAAUAGUUUCCAGCUCAGAUAUCUCAGAAUUUUAUAACAACAGAAUUUGAUUAGGCUGAUUACUCUUAUAUGUGGUUUAAUAUUAUAAUUUCAUUAUAAAACCUAAUCUGGAAGACUUUUAGCUUCAUAUGGCUCCAUUGGUUUUUUGUUGUGUGUAUUUGCAAUCCUUUUUGUGAAUGCUCUGUUAAUAUUUUUUUUUAUUCAGCAAGUCUUUGAGACCUUCGAUAACAGAUAACAGUUACUAUGAAUUUUAGUAACAGUACAGAGUACACAUUCAUGAAAUAUAAAGUGUCAAAUUUGAUCAGCAGACUAUAACCCUUAACAAAAUAGGAAUUUAGAAAUCCAUUUCUCCAUAAAGAUAUAAAAAAAUGAAAGUCUGUAAACAAAUACGGAAAAAAUAUUAUAUGAUAUCCUAAAUAAUUCAAGUUAUUACUUUCAAUUUUAACUGUAGAAUUUCAUUGGAGAGGGACUUUUUACAAGGGCAUGCAGUGAUAGGACAAGGGGUAAUGGCUUUAAACAGAAGGCGGGUAGAUUUGUAUUAGAUAUAAGGAAGAAAAGCUUCACCACGAGGGAGGUGAGGCACUGGAACCGGCUGCCCAGAGGAGCUGUGGAUGCCCCAUCCCUGGCAGUGUUCAAGGCCAAGUUGGAUGGGGCUCUGAGCAACCUGGUCUAGUAGAAGGUGUCCCUGCCCAUGGCAGGGGGUUGGAACUACACGGUCUUUAAGGUCCCUUGCAAUCCAAAUCAUUCUAUCAUUCUAUGACUAAAAACAACAAAGAGUGUAAAAACAAUAUUUCCGGUAUGUCAGUCCUUCCUUUCUUCAAGCAAAGUGGAGACUAAACAAAAUAAACUCUAGAUUAAUUAAUGUACAGACUAAACGAAAUGAAGUAAAUUUCUUUUAGUUCUGAUAUUAGUGUGAUUUAGACUGUGGCAAAAAGCCAUGAAAAGAAGUCCAAAUGCUUAAAUAUGUGCUAGAGCAGCCAUUGUAAAUUUUUUGUAAGCAAUGUUUUUUAAAAGGUUUCCUCUUUUCAAUGAAAAGUUGUUCUAAAUUUUUUUUUUUUUUUAAAGGUAUCAUUUUCAUAAAUCUGCUCUCAAAUAUCCGAGAACUCAACUGAAAUUAACUUCUUUGGGUCCAUGCUCCAGUUGUACAAACAGAUCUGCACAUGAGGAUAGUUAAGCUAUUACUGAAUAGGCUCCAAAGAGUGAUCUUUUUGAUGUUAGAAACACAGUAUUUUUACUCCAGUGUAACUUCUGUCAUUUAAACAGACGUGUCACAAACAAAGGGUGAAAGAACCCAGCCAUACUCAGAGAUAGUAAAAAAAAUGACAUUUUUACUCCACUGGAGGUUUUAACAACAGGAAGAAAGUCUAAGUUCACCAUGGAAUAUAAAUUCUAUCCCCUUCCCAAAAUAUUUUGAGAAUCUGAAUAAUGUAACAGAGCAAAUGAAAUAGAUAAAUAAACUCUGAUAUUAGAAGAAAAUGCCUUCAGCAACGAAACUGAAAUAUUUUGCUAUUACUAAAACAGAACAAAGAAGUCAGAAUGAUUUCUUCUUCUGAUUUCUUAUUCUUUGCCUAAUGUUUGAGGGAAACCUUUCUGUUUUAAUAAGACUUCCUUUUUUAUAACAGGAAACUCUUCAGUUGAAAACAUUUUAGGCCACACUACCUACAAACCUGAAUAUGCAAAAGCUGAGAGAGAGAGGCGUACAGAUUACAGCUCCACCAUGGCUACGGGGAAGAGAUUAAUAUCUUUGUUUCUGCAAAAGCCUCAUACACUUGCAAAUUCGGGGUCAUCUUUAACGUUACUUCAUCAGUCUCCAGAAAUAUUUCAAAUGGUAACAUGUAACUCAAGGAAACUGAAAGCCAUCUGACUCCAUGUACUUACUCAAAAAAGGUGGUCCAUCCAGUCUCGUCACUUUUAGUUGCCAGAAGUCCA